RNAcentral lists this ribosomal RNA (459 nucleotides) under uncultured Arcobacter sp. RNAcentral describes it as "bacterial SSU rRNA". It matches the Rfam family "Bacterial small subunit ribosomal RNA", at positions 925 to 1382 of the family's 1533-position model. The record is from RNAcentral. Lineage: Bacteria; Pseudomonadati; Campylobacterota; Epsilonproteobacteria; Campylobacterales; Arcobacteraceae.
ACAAGCGGUGGAGCAUGUGGUUUAAUUCGACGAUACGCGAAGAACCUUACCUGGCCUUGACAUACUAAAAAGCUUUAAGAGAUUAGAGUGUGCUAGCUUGCUAGAAUUUAGAUACAGGUGCUGCACGGCUGUCGUCAGCUCGUGUCGUGAGAUGUUGGGUUAAGUCCCGCAACGAGCGCAACCCUCGUGUUUAGUUGCUAACAGUUCGGCUGAGAACUCCAAACAGACUGCCUACGCAAGUAGGAGGAAGGUGAGGACGACGUCAAGUCAUCAUGGCCCUUACGGCCAGGGCUACACACGUGCUACAAUGGGGUAUACAAAGAGCAGCGAUACGGUGACGUGGAGCAAAUCUAGAAAAUGCCUCUCAGUUCGGAUUGUAGUCUGCAACUCGACUACAUGAAGUUGGAAUCGCUAGUAAUCGUAGAUCAGCAUGCCGCGGUGAAUACGUUCCCGGGCCUU